UUCACUUCACAAAACCCAUCAAGGCACAAUUCUGUGAACCCCACUUCGCCGUUAAGGUCAGCUUCCAAACAUGUAGUGGCACAGAGGAGCACCACAUGGUCAACAUACACCAUGGGACCAACAGACACCACUGGGCCAACAUACACCACGGGACCAACAGACACCACUGGGCCAACAGACACCACGGGACCAACAGACACCACUGGGCCAACAUACACCACGGGACCAACAGACACCACUGGGCCAACAUAUACCAUGGGACCAAGAGACACCACUGGGCUGACAUACACCAUGGGGCCAACAGACACCACAUGGCCAGCAUACACAACUGGGCUGAGACACAGCACAAAGUUGGCAUACAGCAUGGGCACCAGCACUGAGGGCACCAGACCCCAUCCACCAGUUCUCUCCCCUGGCACCUUUGUGACUUCCCACAGUGACACCUACAUCCAGAGCUCAUCGGAUGAAUUCCCUCUGCUCUCUGUUGUGAUACCAGCUCUGGUUUUGCUGAUUUUCAUCAUUACCACUGUUCUUGUUCUUACCAAAAUAAAGCUUCGUAAGGAGAUGGGAGAAGAAGGAAGCACCCUGGGACAGACAGAAGCUGUGCUGGUGCGGGCUGGGCUGAGUCCCACAGAAGGACAAGGGAUGGAGGAGCUCGGCAGCCCAGACAACACCAAUGGAUGCAAGGCAGAGUCGGGCAGACAUCGGAUAAUACGUGCUCUCCUCGGAAGGUUUGGGCAGACCAGGUUGUAUGAAUCCUUUGGUGAAAAAUAUUCUUUCCAACAUGAAUGAAGACAACUUGAGGGAGCCCAAGCAGAACCCCUUCUCUCAGAGCACGAUGUACAUAAGCUCAGAAGCUUCUUUAUUGAAAGGCAAGACACGGCUAUAAAUAACCUUGAAGCAUGCAGUACUUCUUCCUUGCUCCCCAUUCUGCAGCCAAAUGCCUUGUUGUGUGUGGUUUGUAGAGAACAAGAUGAGGCAACUAGCCACACAGCUCCUGUAUGCAGACCUGACUGUCUCAUGUAGAGCAGAGCACCCCAAUGGGGAGCUGGGUAUGGAAUGGAAGGAUCCUCGGGGCUGCAGAUCUAUCUCUUGGAAAUCCUCGUCCUUAGGGAUUUGUCUUGCAAAGCACAAACCAUGUCGGACUUCAGUCCAACACCAAAGAUUUCAGCCCAACAGCAGCCCAGGCUACGUGCCAUAUUUCAGCCCAGGAAAAAAAAAAAAAAAGCAAAGCAAGGGUUGUUUGUGUUCUGGAGAUGCCAAAGUGCUUUGGCACCUGUGACUUGGCAAGACGAUGCUUCCUUGUCUGUUAAAGCAAAUAUAUUUGCGUAAUUCCAUCUUGUUCAGAGACAAAGGAUUGGUUUUACCAGAAACUUCAAGGGCGAAGACAGAGGUUUGGAUAAAGAAACUGUUAGUCUGUCAGGAACAGCCUCUUGUCCAAGGAGCCCAAGUAACUGCAGGUCCUCACCAGCUGCUUUCAUCCAGGCUUCCCCUGCCUACAGCUGUGCUACCAUUCCCAGCUUCUUCCAAGCACAUCUCUGUGCACAUCAGCAGCCAGACAGGUGGUGGGGAAGGCAACACACAGGGAUCCAAAAAGGAAAGGCUCUCCUGAGAACAGGAGGUGUACAAAAAGCAAACACACCUGUGUUUGUCAUGGCCAAAUGCAAACCCCAGAGCCACUGUCCUGCUCCAGCUCCUCCACUUUCCCUAUGAGCAGGUGAGAAAGUCUUCCUGUGGCCCGGAAUUAAACAAAAAUUGCCUUAUUAGAAUAAAGGAAAGCAAGUUAAUGACGCAUCC
This is a long non-coding RNA of Gallus gallus (chicken), 1797 nucleotides long. The record is from Ensembl. NCBI's taxonomy places the organism in Eukaryota, Metazoa, Chordata, Aves, Galliformes, Phasianidae.